AGGUGCCACGCGUAUCCUCCGGUUCUGAGUGCGCCGCCCCCACCAGCUGACGACCGCUUGCUAGGUUUCGUCAGCC
RNAcentral lists this small RNA (76 nucleotides) under Xanthomonas sp. 3058. Its description in RNAcentral is "sRNA sX9". It matches the Rfam family "Xanthomonas sRNA sX9". Lineage: Bacteria; Pseudomonadati; Pseudomonadota; Gammaproteobacteria; Lysobacterales; Lysobacteraceae. The record is from RNAcentral. RNAcentral also lists the same sequence under 1 other name.